Molecule: unclassified non-coding RNA, 345 nt
Filed under: Mucoromycotina sp.
Lineage: Eukaryota; Fungi; Mucoromycota
Description: partial contains small subunit ribosomal RNA and internal transcribed spacer 1
Rfam family: Eukaryotic small subunit ribosomal RNA (bases 1-47)
Source: RNAcentral
AAAGUCGUAACAAGGUCAUCGUAGGUGAACCUGCGGUGGGAUCAUUAAAUAAAAUUAAUGUGGGCGUAGAUUGAUUAGGGUUUAUCUUAUUUAUAAGAGACAUUCUAGUUGAACUGCGCUCUGCUUGUGUGAACCGAGUGAGCUGAAUUGAAAUAAUUUAUUUUGAUCAGCGCGAGAGCAGUAUAUAUUGGUGGGUGAAAUGAAAGAUGUUUAUUAUCUCUCUUUACCCGCCACUGUUCUCUCUUAUUAUAAACAAUAACAACUAAAUCUAAACAAAAUAUCAAAGAGACCUAAACAGUCUCUACAAUUAAAUUACAACUAUCCGUGGUGGAUCACUUGGCUCUU